UACGUAGGGUGCGAGCGUUGUCCGGAAUUAUUGGGCGUAAAGAGCUCGUAGGCGGCUUGUCGCGUCGGAUGUGAAAGCCCGGGGCUUAACUCCGGGUCUGCAGUCGAUACGAGCAAACUAGAGUGUUGCAGGGGAGACUGGAAUUCCUGGUGUAGCGGUGAAAUGCGCAGAUAUCAGGAGGAACACCGGUGGCGAAGGCGGGUCUCUGGGCAACAACUGACGCUGAGGAGCGAAAGCGUGGGGAGCGAACAGG
RNAcentral lists this ribosomal RNA (253 nucleotides) under uncultured bacterium. Its description in RNAcentral is "partial 16S ribosomal RNA". It matches the Rfam family "Bacterial small subunit ribosomal RNA", at positions 524 to 776 of the family's 1533-position model. The record is from RNAcentral.